CCUACGGGAGGCAGCAGUGGGGAAUAUUGCACAAUGGGGGGAACCCUGAUGCAGCGACGCCGCGUGAGUGAAGAAGUAUUUCGGUAUGUUAAGCUCUGUCAGCAGGGAAGAAGAAAGACGGUACCUGGCCAAGAAGCCCCGGCUAACUACGUGCCAGCAGCCGCGGUAAUACGGAGGAUGCGAGCGUUAUCCGGAUUUAUUGGGUUUAAAGGGUGCGCAGGGGGUAGAUCAAGUCGUCGGUAAAAUUGAGAGGCUAAACCUCUUCGAGCCGUUGAAACUGGUUUUCUUGAGUUAGCGAGAGGUAUGCGGAAUGCGUGGUGUAGCGGUGAAAUGCAUAGAUAUCACGCAGAACUCCGAUUGCGAAGGCAGCAUACCGGCGCUCAACUGACGCUCAUGCACGAAAGUGUGGGUAUCGAACAGGAUUAGAUACCCUGGUAGUC
RNAcentral lists this ribosomal RNA (440 nucleotides) under uncultured bacterium. RNAcentral describes it as "partial 16S ribosomal RNA". It matches the Rfam family "Bacterial small subunit ribosomal RNA", at positions 338 to 795 of the family's 1533-position model. The record is from RNAcentral.